This 492-nucleotide ribosomal RNA is filed under the name uncultured bacterium. Its description in RNAcentral is "partial 16S ribosomal RNA". It matches the Rfam family "Bacterial small subunit ribosomal RNA", at positions 29 to 507 of the family's 1533-position model. The record is from RNAcentral.
AGUGAACGCUGGCGGUAGGCCUAACACAUGCAAGUCGAACGGCAGCACAGUAAGAGCUUGCUCUUACGGGUGGCGAGUGGCGGACGGGUGAGGAAUACAUCGGAAUCUACUUUUUCGUGGGGGAUAACGUAGGGAAACUUACGCUAAUACCGCAUACUACCUACGGGUGAAAGCAGGGGAUCUUCGGACCUUGCGCGAUGGAGUGAGCCGAUGUCGGAUUAGCUAGUUGGCGGGGUAAAGGCCCACCAAGGCGACGAUCCGUAGCUGGUCUGAGAGGAUGAUCAGCCACACUGGAACUGAGACACGGUCCAGACUCCUACGGGAGGCAGCAGUGGGGAAUAUUGGACAAUGGGCGCAAGCCUGAUCCAGCCAUACCGCGUGGGUGAAGAAGGCCUUCGGGUUGUAAAGCCCUUUUGUUGGGAAAGAAAAGCAGCAGGUUAAUACCCCGCUGUUCUGACGGUACCCAAAGAAUAAGCACCGGCUAACUUCGUG